AUAUCAUCAACCUCCGAUUUGCUCCUGUGAGUCGGCAGGCUUGGACAUUGGGGGUUCUCUGGCGGCCUCUCCGAGGUCGGCUCCCCUGGAAUGCAUUAGCUGGACGCGAUCCCUGGUCCCUUGCGCGGAGCUCGGCCUUCCACGGUGUAGUACGCUAUUCACCGAUGAAGUGCCUCCUCCCGACCGUUUCGAGUCUGCUUCCAACCGUCUUCGGACAAUCUCUUGACA
RNAcentral lists this unclassified non-coding RNA (228 nucleotides) under uncultured Tubulicrinis. RNAcentral describes it as "sequence contains ITS2". The record is from RNAcentral. Lineage: Eukaryota; Fungi; Basidiomycota; Agaricomycetes; Corticiales; Corticiaceae.